GACGAACGCUGGCGGCGUGCUUAACACAUGCAAGUCGAACGGAAAGGCCCUGCUUUUGUGGGGUGCUCGAGUGGCGAACGGGUGAGUAACACGUGAGUAACCUGCCCUUGACUUUGGGAUAACUCCAGGAAACUGGGGCUAAUACCGGAUAGGAGCUCCUGCUGCAUGGUGGGGGUUGGAAAGUUUCGGCGGUUGGGGAUGGACUCGCGGCUUAUCAGCUUGUUGGUGGGGUAGUGGCUUACCAAGGCUUUGACGGGUAGCCGGCCUGAGAGGGUGACCGGCCACAUGGGGACUGCGAUACGGCGCAGACUACUACGGGAGGCAGCAGUGGGGAAUAUUGCACAAUGAGCGGAAGCCUGAUGCAGCAACGCCGCGUGCGGGAUGACGGCCUUCGGGGUGUAAACCGCUUUCGCCUGUGACGAAGAGUGAGUGACGGUAAUGGGUAAAGAAGCACCGGCUAACUACGUG
Molecule: ribosomal RNA, 468 nt
Filed under: uncultured bacterium
Lineage: Bacteria
Description: partial 16S ribosomal RNA
Rfam family: Bacterial small subunit ribosomal RNA
Source: RNAcentral